UCGAAUUUAGAACUGGAAAGGACUUAGAAAUUAUGGAGUCCAAUACUCCCAUUUUACAGAUGAAGAAAAUGAGUUGAAGUGGUUCACUCAGGGGCCCAGAGGUGAGGAAUGAGGCUGUUAAUAUCAAAGCAAGAACUGGGGAGUUCAUCCAUAGUGAAAUGGGAGCUGGAGAAGAAGUUGGAGGCAGGUAGCAAAUGGCUACGUUUGCCUUCGGGCCUGAUCAUUCACUCUGAUAUUCAGUAUUGCCGUAGUGUGUCCACAUUCAUCAUCUAUGAGGCACAGAACUGGAGAGGCAGAUGAGAGACUGAGACCUGAUGUACUUCCCCUGGACUUCGCGUGGACAUAGGCAGGGCAAGGAUUAUCACCACCAAGGAAACCAAGACUGAGUGAAGUGACGAGCAUGAGGAUACGUGGGGCAGUAAACCGAGGGUCGAUCAGUCAACAGGCAUUGAUGCAAUACUUACUAUGUUCUAGUCAUCGUGCUGGAGCUGGAGAGACAAAUUAAAAAAAGGUGAAGCCAUCUCUACCCCUCCAGAAGCUUCUGUUUUAUGUGAUCCAGAACUACAGCCCGGGCCUUCUCAUUCCCAGGCUAACGUUCUUCCCACUACACUGCACUGCCUUUCUGUGUGGCCUUGAGCCAAGCCUUUCGUGUGCCUGGGCCUCACAUUCCCUUUCUAUAGGUUGAGGUUAACUACUUCCUAUAAGAGGAGGAUGUUUUAGAGAUUAAAUGAAUAAUGACGACAACAACAAUGGUAAUAACUAACAUUUGUAUAACACUUUGAGGUUUGCAAAGCACUUUAU
Non-coding RNA from Phascolarctos cinereus (koala), 801 nucleotides. The record is from RefSeq and is a predicted model, not a curated record. NCBI's taxonomy places the organism in Eukaryota, Metazoa, Chordata, Mammalia, Diprotodontia, Phascolarctidae.